RNAcentral lists this microRNA precursor (93 nucleotides) under Pelobates cultripes (western spadefoot toad). Lineage: Eukaryota; Metazoa; Chordata; Amphibia; Anura; Pelobatidae. The record is from RNAcentral.
GUGUCUGUGUGUGUAUGUCAGUGUGUCUGUGUGUGUAUGUCAGUAUGUCUGUCAUACUGACAUACACACACAGACAUACUAACACACACACAG